RNAcentral lists this ribosomal RNA (243 nucleotides) under uncultured bacterium. RNAcentral describes it as "partial 16S ribosomal RNA". It matches the Rfam family "Bacterial small subunit ribosomal RNA", at positions 15 to 248 of the family's 1533-position model. The record is from RNAcentral.
GAUCCUGGCUCAGGAUGAACGCUAGCUACAGGCUUAACACAUGCAAGUCGAGGGGCAGCAUUUCAGUUUGCUUGCAAACUGGAGAUGGCGACCGGCGCACGGGUGAGUAACACGUAUCCAACCUGCCGAUAACUCGGGGAUAGCCUUUCGAAAGAAAGAUUAAUACCCGAUGGUAUAAUCAGACCGCACGGUCUUGUUAUUAAAGAACUUCGGUUAUCGAUGGGGAUGCGUUCCAUUAGGCAG